UAAAUAAUUUAUUUUAUUAUAAAAUUUUAUUAAAUUAAAAAAAUAUAUGAAUUUUUUUUAAAGUUAAUUUUAUUCUUAAAGAAUUUAAUUAAUUCUCAGUAUUAAAUAUUAAAUAUUAAAGAAAUUUAGAUUUAAUUAUUAAUUUUAGUAUAAACUAAAUAUGUGCCAGCAGUUGCGGUUAAACAUAUUAUACAAAUAAAAUAGUUUGGUUAAUAGUAUUUAAAUAUUUUUUAUAAUUAAUUUUUUAAUAAAAGGUAAAAUUUAAUUUAAAAUUAAAAUUAUAAUUAUUUUAUUCUAUUAAAUUUUAUUUAAAACUAGGAUUAGAUACCCUAUUAUAAAAAUUUAAAAUUAUUACUAAAAAAUUAAUAGUUAUGUUCUUUAAAUUUAAAAAAUUUGGCGGUAUUUUAGUCUUAUUAGAGGAACCUGUUUUUUAAUUGAUAAUCCACGAUUAAUUUUACUUAUUUUAAAAAUUUAUAUAUCGCUGUCAUGAAUAUAUUUAAAAAAUUUAUUUUCUUUAAUUAAUUUAUUAAUUUAUGUUAAGUCAAGAUGUAGUUUAUAAAUAAGAAAAUAAUGGGUUACAUUAAAUUAUAUUUUUGGAUUUAAAAUGAAAAUAAAUAUGAAAUUGAAUUUAAUAGUAAAUUUAUUUAUUUAAAUAAUAUGAAUAUAGAUCUAAAAUAUGUACAUAUUGCCCGUCAUUCUUAUAAAAAAUAAGACAAGUCGUAACAAAGUAAAUGUACUGGAAAGUGUAUUUAGAAAGAUA
Molecule: non-coding RNA, 760 nt
Filed under: Mindarus keteleerifoliae
Lineage: Eukaryota; Metazoa; Arthropoda; Insecta; Hemiptera; Mindaridae
Source: RNAcentral